Ictidomys tridecemlineatus (thirteen-lined ground squirrel) is the source of this 731-nucleotide long non-coding RNA. RefSeq lists it as uncharacterized. Lineage: Eukaryota; Metazoa; Chordata; Mammalia; Rodentia; Sciuridae. The record is from RefSeq and is a predicted model, not a curated record.
GCUGGUCCCGCGACGCUGUCGUGGCGAGUUGGGCACGCAGAGAGAUUUGGCGAUUUCCUUUUUUCCCUUUUUUGGUACCGCGGAUGGAAUCCAGGGGCGCUUAAGAAAAACAAGGGAGAGAACUGAAUUGCAGCAGAUGAGCCCUGGGCAGGAAGCUCCUAUUUAGCACAAGUGAAGCCCUGUGUUCAACCCAGCAUCAAAUAAAAUACCGACCAUGCUCGCCAGAGAGGUGGCUCUGCUUGUUCUUUAUCCAGCCUGAAGUCAUUGAGCCAGCCCUUAUCCCCGGCCCUGGGGGGACACAGCAGAAAAUAAUACAGAGAAGAAGUUCUGCCUUCCUGAAGCCCCAGCCGAGUGGACAGAAAUGGAUCAGAAAGGAGGAGGUCACUGCUCCACCCGCCACGGACAGCAAGCACCGUCAUGUGACUUGCUUAGGCAACAGAAUGUGAGCUAAAGUGAGGUCAGCUGAUUCCCAGCAGAAGUUCUGAGCCUGAAAAGUUCUUGCUUCAUCCAUGGUUCUUCUUCAAUCAGUCACAAUAACUGCCUGUCCCAGAGGGUGUUGCUCCUUCGGCCAUGAUCCCAGAUGAGGUCACAUGGAAAAGACCCCCAGCCGACCUGCAGUGCACAUGAAACCGUGAGAGAGGAAGUGAUCAUGUGAGCCCCCGAGAUGCUGGGCUUGUUUGUUACUGCAGCAACAUGUAGCAGAAGCUGACAUAGAAAAAAAUCAUCACCGA